CCUACGGGUGGCAGCAGUGGGGAAUAUUGGGCAAUGGAGGCAACUCUGACCCAGCAAUGCCGCGUGAAUGAUGAAGGUCUUCGGAUUGUAAAGUUCUUUAAUCAGGGACGAAGAAAGUGACGGUACCUGAGGAAUAAGCCACGGCAAACUAGGUGCCAGCAGCCGCGGUAAUACGUAGGUGGCAAGCGUUGUCCGGAAUGACUGGGCGUAAAGGGAGCGUAGGCGGUUUGUUAAGUUGGAAGUGAAAUCCCAAGGCUCAACCCUGGAACUGCUUCUAAGACUGACGGACUUGAGUGCAGGAGGGGUAAGCGGAAUUCCUAGUGUAGCGGUGGAAUGCGUAGAUAUUAGGAGGAACACCAGUGGCGAAGGCGGAUUACUGGAUUAUAACUGACGCUGAGGCACGAAAGCGUGGGUAGCAAACAGGAUUAGAUACCCGAGUAGUC
RNAcentral lists this ribosomal RNA (443 nucleotides) under uncultured bacterium. RNAcentral's name for it is "partial 16S ribosomal RNA". It matches the Rfam family "Bacterial small subunit ribosomal RNA", at positions 338 to 795 of the family's 1533-position model. The record is from RNAcentral.